AUAGGGUCAAGCGACUAAGUGCAUCUGGUGGAUGCCUUGGCGAUCACAGGCGAUGAAGGACGUGUAAGCCUGCGAAAAGCGCGGGGGAGCUGGCAAUAGAGCUUUGAUCCCGCGAUGUCCGAAUGGGGAAACCCACCGCUUAGGCGGUAUCCCUGACUGAAUACAUAGGUCAGAGGAGGCGAACCGAGUGAACUGAAACAUCUAAGUAACUCGAGGAAAAGAAAUCAACCGAGAUUCCGUAAGUAGUGGCGAGCGAACGCGGAACAGCCUGUAUGUGAUAGAGAUUGCGUUAGUGGAAGGUUCAUGGAAAGGACCGCCGUAGUGGGUGAUAGCCC
This 335-nucleotide ribosomal RNA is filed under the name Priestia megaterium. Its description in RNAcentral is "bacterial LSU rRNA". It matches the Rfam family "Bacterial large subunit ribosomal RNA", at positions 1 to 373 of the family's 2925-position model. The record is from RNAcentral. Lineage: Bacteria; Bacillati; Bacillota; Bacilli; Caryophanales; Bacillaceae.